GCUUACGGCCAUACCAACCUGGCUAUGCCUGAUCUCGUUUGAUCUCGGAAGCUAAGCAGGUUUGGGCCUGGUUAGUACUUGGAUGGGAGACCGCCUGGGAAUACCAGGUGCUGUAAGCU
RNAcentral lists this ribosomal RNA (119 nucleotides) under Carassius auratus (goldfish). The record is from RNAcentral. Lineage: Eukaryota; Metazoa; Chordata; Actinopteri; Cypriniformes; Cyprinidae.